Molecule: long non-coding RNA, 279 nt
Organism: Gymnodraco acuticeps
Lineage: Eukaryota; Metazoa; Chordata; Actinopteri; Perciformes; Bathydraconidae
Exons: 3
Source: RefSeq, a predicted model, not a curated record
AUCAGAAGACGGCAGAAGUGUCUCCAUCGAAGGUGGACUUUGGAGUCCAGUGUAAUGAGUUCCAGGAGCACAAGUGUGCCUGUGAGGAGAGGAGGUGUAGCAUGGGACCAAACAGGAAUCAGCCUCUUACAUAUUCAGACAAUAAGAAUGGGAACUAUAGACAAGGAGAAGGACCAAUCAUGAGGGGACAAACACAGAAGAACCAGAGGAAACAAGGCUACAGGAAACCAAGGGGUCAAUACGGCAGCCAGCAUGAAGCCUACAGUGGAUACUAUGGCA